CCUACGGGAGGCAGCAGUGAGGAAUAUUGGUCAAUGGGCGCAAGCCUGAACCAGCCAAGUCGCGUGAGGGACGACGGUCCUAUGGAUUGUAAACCUCUUUUGUCGGGGAGCAAGGCCCGCCACGUGUGGCGGGAAGGAGAGUACCCGAAGAAAAAGCAUCGGCUAACUCCGUGCCAGCAGCCGCGGUAAUACGGAGGAUGCGAGCGUUAUCCGGAUUGAUUGGGGUUAAAGGGUGCGUAGGCGGAAGGUUAAGUCAGCGGUCAAAUGUCGGUGCUCAACACCGGCCUGCCGUUGAAACUGGUCUUCUUGAGUGAGCGAGAAGUAUGCGGAAUGCGUGGUGUAGCGGUGAAAUGCAUAGAUAUCACGCAGAACUCCGAUUGCGAAGGCAGCAUACCGGCGCUCAACUGACGCUGAGGCACGAAAGCGUGGGGAUCGAACAGGAUUAGAUACCCCAGUAGUC
RNAcentral lists this ribosomal RNA (460 nucleotides) under uncultured bacterium. Its description in RNAcentral is "partial 16S ribosomal RNA". It matches the Rfam family "Bacterial small subunit ribosomal RNA", at positions 338 to 795 of the family's 1533-position model. The record is from RNAcentral.